RNAcentral lists this long non-coding RNA (355 nucleotides) under Phaseolus vulgaris (common bean). RNAcentral describes it as "long non-coding RNA (PVUL_LNC004674)". The record is from RNAcentral. Lineage: Eukaryota; Viridiplantae; Streptophyta; Magnoliopsida; Fabales; Fabaceae.
UGUGUGAGAGCAGUCUUAGUGUUUCUUUAUUGGAAUCUGAAUAGAUGGCUUCUUCGUGUUCUUCUUGUUCUGCUCGUUCUGGCUCUUCUUCAUGUUCUUCUUGUUCUGCUUGUUCUGGCUCUUCUUCUUGUUCUCCUUCUGCAUAUGAUUCUGAUACCUCCACCACUAAAACCACACCCUUCCCCUAUCCCACCACUUCCGUCGUAAGUCCCGUCAAAUUCGACGGCCAAAACUUCCUCGCCUGGGAGGCCUACGUCUACCUCUGGUUCUUCGGUCAGGGGCUCAUCGAACACUUGACCAUGAAACCGAUCGAAAUUGCUAGAGAUGAAAGGGAGCGGUGGUUGCGAACCGAUUA